This 882-nucleotide ribosomal RNA is filed under the name Psychrobacter sp. GNDP2_II. RNAcentral describes it as "bacterial SSU rRNA". It matches the Rfam family "Bacterial small subunit ribosomal RNA", at positions 55 to 930 of the family's 1533-position model. The record is from RNAcentral. Lineage: Bacteria; Pseudomonadati; Pseudomonadota; Gammaproteobacteria; Moraxellales; Moraxellaceae.
AUGCAAGUCGAGCGGUAACAGGAGAAGCUUGCUUCUCGCUGACGAGCGGCGGACGGGUGAGUAAUACUUAGGAAUCUACCUAGUAGUGGGGGAUAGCUCGGGGAAACUCGAAUUAAUACCGCAUACGACCUACGGGAGAAAGGGGGCAACUUGUUGCUCUCGCUAUUAGAUGAGCCUAAGUCGGAUUAGCUAGAUGGUGGGGUAAAGGCCUACCAUGGCGACGAUCUGUAGCUGGUCUGAGAGGAUGAUCAGCCACACCGGGACUGAGACACGGCCCGGACUCCUACGGGAGGCAGCAGUGGGGAAUAUUGGACAAUGGGGGCAACCCUGAUCCAGCCAUGCCGCGUGUGUGAAGAAGGCCUUUUGGUUGUAAAGCACUUUAAGCAGUGAAGAAGACUCUAUGGUUAAUACCCAUAGACGAUGACAUUAGCUGCAGAAUAAGCACCGGCUAACUCUGUGCCAGCAGCCGCGGUAAUACAGAGGGUGCAAGCGUUAAUCGGAAUUACUGGGCGUAAAGCGAGCGUAGGUGGCUUGAUAAGUCAGAUGUGAAAGCCCCGGGCUUAACCUGGGAACGGCAUCUGAUACUGUUAGGCUAGAGUAGGUGAGAGGAAGGUAGAAUUCCAGGUGUAGCGGUGAAAUGCGUAGAGAUCUGGAGGAAUACCGAUGGCGAAGGCAGCCUUCUGGCAUCAUACUGACACUGAGGUUCGAAAGCGUGGGUAGCAAACAGGAUUAGAUACCCUGGUAGUCCACGCCGUAAACGAUGUCUACUAGUCGUUGGGUCCCUUGAGGACUUAGUGACGCAGCUAACGCAAUAAGUAGACCGCCUGGGGAGUACGGCCGCAAGGUUAAAACUCAAAUGAAUUGACGGGGGCCCGCACAAGC